This 439-nucleotide ribosomal RNA is filed under the name Oceanobacillus iheyensis. RNAcentral describes it as "bacterial SSU rRNA". It matches the Rfam family "Bacterial small subunit ribosomal RNA", at positions 955 to 1395 of the family's 1533-position model. Lineage: Bacteria; Bacillati; Bacillota; Bacilli; Caryophanales; Bacillaceae. The record is from RNAcentral.
UCGAGCACGCGAGACCUUACCAGGUCUUGACAUCCUCUGAACACUCUAAAGAUAGAGUUUUCCCUUCGGGGACAGAGUGACAGGGGGUGCAUGGUUGUCGUCAGCUCGUGUCGUGAGAUGUUGGGUUAAGUCCCGCAACGAGCGCAACCCUUGAUCUUAGUUGCCAGCAUUAAGUUGGGCACUCUAAGGUGACUGCCGGUGACAAACCGGAGGAAGGUGGGGAUGACGUCAAAUCAUCAUGCCCCUUAUGACCUGGGCUACACACGUGCUACAAUGGAUGGAACAAAGGGAAGCGAACCCGCGAGGUCAAGCAAAUCCCACAAAACCAUUCUCAGUUCGGAUUGUAGGCUGCAACUCGCCUACAUGAAGCCGGAAUCGCUAGUAAUCGCGGAUCAGCAUGCCGCGGUGAAUACGUUCCCGGCUCUUGUACACACCCGCC